RNAcentral lists this ribosomal RNA (460 nucleotides) under uncultured bacterium. RNAcentral describes it as "partial 16S ribosomal RNA". It matches the Rfam family "Bacterial small subunit ribosomal RNA", at positions 338 to 795 of the family's 1533-position model. The record is from RNAcentral.
CCUACGGGUGGCAGCAGUGAGGAAUAUUGGUCAAUGGGCGGGAGCCUGAACCAGCCAAGUCGCGUGAGGGAAGACGGUCCUAUGGAUUGUAAACCUCUUUAGGCGGGGAGCAAUGCCGGGCACGCGUGCCCGGAGGGAGAGUACCCGCAGAAUAAGCAUCGGCUAACUCCGUGCCAGCAGCCGCGGUAAUACGGAGGAUGCGGGGUUUAUCGGGAUUUAUGGGGUUUAAGGGGUGCGUAGGCGGAUUUUUAAGUCAGCGGUAAAGUGUCCGGGCUCAACCCGGGCCGGCCGUUGAAACUGGGGAUCUUGAGUGGGCGAGAAGUAUGCGGAAUGCGUGGUGUAGCGGUGAAAUGCAUAGAUAUCACGCAGAACUCCGAUUGCGAAGGCAGCAUACCGGCGCCCGACUGACGCUGAGGCACGAAAGCGUGGGGAUCGAACAGGAUUAGAUACCCUUGUAGUC